UGAACAACAGAAGCAGUAGUAAGAAAGAAUGGACAGAGACCAAAAACCAAGAUCAAAGUGUGCAAUGAGCUACGAUGAAACGAGACAGUAUGAAACAGUGGUCAGCCAGCAGCCUCAGCAGCGAGAAGAAUCGUAAGGGCAGACCUGGUCGAAACAGAGAGGGUAGCCUGACAUAAUGCCAUGAAAGACAGGUCUGAAAUCAUGACCGAUCAGGCCAGAAGCGAAACCUCCGAGAUCUCAGCACGGUGAAUUGAGAAGAAGCAACAUGUGAGAUGGCUCAUUGUAAUCUGCAGAUGGAGAGAAGCGAGCGCCAUCGC
This 317-nucleotide long non-coding RNA is filed under the name Phoenix dactylifera (date palm). RNAcentral describes it as "long non-coding RNA (PDAC_LNC002324)". The record is from RNAcentral. Lineage: Eukaryota; Viridiplantae; Streptophyta; Magnoliopsida; Arecales; Arecaceae.